ACAACUCCGACGACGGAAGCGGCGCGCGGCGAACCGCAGGGCGGGUCAGGAAGGUUGAGUAUGCCCCUGAGACAUCUGGCUAAUUCUGGAGUGAAGCACAGGAAGUAUCCCAAGGAGGAUCAUUGACGGAUGACUGAUAUGGCAAGGAGAGCCCCCAAAGACAAUCCAAUUCCUACUGUCUUCAGAUUCCAUCUGUGUCAUCAUGGGUUACAAAGUAGCCUAAUCCUGCUUUCGCCUGAGUUCCAGAAACAUAUUUGCAACUGCCAACUGGACAGCUCCAGCUGGCUGUUCUAUGUCUUGGAUUGCAAGAUUUUCACUCUUGCCUGUAUUCUUGCCCUUAGCUAAGAAGACUUGCCACCCCUCUCUCUUAUUGCCUGUAUCCAGUGAAGCAUCAAGUCCUGCCCAUUCUCCUCAGGCUCCUGUCCUGCAUGAGGCUCCUCCUUGGCAUUUCCACUGCUGCUUUUCUAAUCCCAACACCCAAUCUGUCUUGCCUGAACAUU
Long non-coding RNA from Neogale vison (American mink), 500 nucleotides. RefSeq lists it as uncharacterized. The transcript is spliced from 3 exons. The record is from RefSeq and is a predicted model, not a curated record. NCBI's taxonomy places the organism in Eukaryota, Metazoa, Chordata, Mammalia, Carnivora, Mustelidae.